GGGUCACACUCCUGCUUCCUCUCUUCCUGCUAUGUCUCCUCCUGCUGGGCGUCCGGACAAGCACACCACGGGCCACUCCCACAUGUGCUCUCUCUCCACUGCGGGCGUGCCUCCUCGCACCUGCAAACACUCACCAAACUACACACCUGCCUGUGAUGAGCGAGCUGCCUUCAAGAGCAGACGCAGCCUGAGAUCCGACGCGAGAACGUAGCUUCACGUACCCAGUACACCUCCCGCCAUCCUUCCUUGUCGUCGAGUUGUGUGUCUCGUCACCUUGGACCUCCCGUGGAUUUUCCCUUGCCUUCCUGGACAUCGACCUCACGCCUGCCUAACGACCACGAAACCAAGCUCCUGCCCUUGACCAUCUGCCUGCUCCCCGACGUUCGAUUCCGCCUUGCUCCUUGCUGGACUUCCGCCUGGAUCCCAACACGCAUCCUCAACACCCUCUGGCAACCAUACUCAGAUAAGUCUCACACUUCGUCACACUACAUCUCUUUGGUUAAAUACACAUCUCACUCACACACUAAACUGUCAUUAAAUACGCUGACAGCUAACGA
Long non-coding RNA from Nerophis ophidion (straightnose pipefish), 557 nucleotides. RefSeq lists it as uncharacterized. The transcript has 2 exons. The record is from RefSeq and is a predicted model, not a curated record. NCBI's taxonomy places the organism in Eukaryota, Metazoa, Chordata, Actinopteri, Syngnathiformes, Syngnathidae.